Molecule: long non-coding RNA, 221 nt
Filed under: Homo sapiens (human)
Lineage: Eukaryota; Metazoa; Chordata; Mammalia; Primates; Hominidae
Description: non-protein coding lnc-EIF2S3B-2:2
Source: RNAcentral
GUUAUCCCCAUCCAUAACUCCUCCCAAAGGGCCCAAUAGCCUGCCUUCCAGCAGAGCUAAUAAUCCAUGGUUUAAGUUAUGCAUUCGGACUGUAAGAAAUCUGAAUAAAACGUCAUUCUCCCUUUUAUCCAACUGGCAAAAUGCAUACUCUUCCUCUAAACUCAAUUGAAUGGAGUUCUUUGAGAAGACUUCCUGAUAACAUGCUGAGGAAAUCCAAGCCA